UGGAUUUUUAUAUUUUUUUUUAUGUUAUUUUUUGUAAAAUAUUUUGAUUUGUUUAUUUUUUUUUUUUGGUAUCAAAAAUUUGUUUUUUGAACUGGAUUAGUACCCAGGUAAUCAAAAUUUAUUAAUUCGGGAGUAAAGUUUUGUUUAAACCGAAAAAAUAUUGACUGACUUUAGAUUUUUCUUUGGAAUAUGUGAUUUUGUUGGAGAGCCCUCUUUUUUGGUAAAUUUUGUUGGCACAUGUAUGAUUGUUUAGUUUUUAUUUUAUUUUGUAAUGCUUUUUUUGUUUUGGCAUUUAAAACAGAUAUAUAUUUGGUUUAUAAAUUUAUUUUUCAUGUGUUACUAUUAUAAAUUUUUUUUGGAUUAAUUUUUUAUUUUUUUUU
This 380-nucleotide ribosomal RNA is filed under the name Onchocerca lupi. RNAcentral's name for it is "partial 12S ribosomal RNA". Lineage: Eukaryota; Metazoa; Nematoda; Chromadorea; Rhabditida; Onchocercidae. The record is from RNAcentral.